CCGGACGACGUGCUUACCAUGCAAGUCGAACGAUGAAUCUCUUCGGAGAUGGAUUAGUGGCGAACGGGUGAGUAACACGUGGGCAAUCUGCCCUGCACUCUGGGACAAGCCCUGGAAACGGGGUCUAAUACCGGAUAUGAGUCUCUACCGCAUGGUGGGGGCUGUAAAGCUCCGGCGGUGCAGGAUGGGCCCGCGGCCUAUCAGCUGGUUGGUGAGGUAAUGGCUCACCAAGGCGACGACGGGUAGCCGGCCUGAGAGGGCGACCGGCCACACUGGGACUGAGACACGGCCCAGACUCCUACGGGAGGCAGCAGUGGGGAAUAUUGCACAAUGGGCGCAAGCCUGAUGCAGCGACGCCGCGUGGGGGAUGACGGCCUUCGGGUUGUAAACCCCUUUCAGCAGGGAAGAAGCGUAAGUGACGGUACCUGCAGAAGAAGCGCCGGCUAACUACGUGCCAGCAGCCGCGGUAAUACGUAGGGCGCAAGCGUUGUCCGGAAUUAUUGGGCGUAAAGAGCUCGUAGGCGGCUUGUCGCGUCGGUUGUGAAAGCCCGGGGCUUAACCCCGGGUCUGCAGUCGAUACGGGCAGGCUAGAGUUCGGUAGGGGAGAUCGGAAUUCCUGGUGUAGCGGUGAAAUGCGCAGAUAUCAGGAGGAACACCGGUGGCGAAGGCGGAUCUCUGGGCCGAUACUGACGCUGAGGAGCGAAAGCGUGGGGAGCGAACAGGAUUAGAUACCCUGGUAGUCCACGCCGUAAACGGUGGGCACUAGGUGUGGGCAACAUUCCACGUUGUCCGUGCCGCAGCUAACGCAUUAAGUGCCCCGCCUGGGGAGUACGGCCGCAAGGCUAAAACUCAAAGGAAUUGACGGUGGCCCGCACAAGCAGCGGAGCAUGUGGCUUAAUUCGACGCAACGCGAAGAACCUUACCACGGUUUGACAUACACCGGUAACCUCUGGAAACAGGGCUCCCCC
Molecule: ribosomal RNA, 968 nt
Filed under: Streptomyces sp.
Lineage: Bacteria; Bacillati; Actinomycetota; Actinomycetes; Kitasatosporales; Streptomycetaceae
Description: bacterial SSU rRNA
Rfam family: Bacterial small subunit ribosomal RNA
Source: RNAcentral